Long non-coding RNA from Amborella trichopoda, 840 nucleotides. RefSeq lists it as uncharacterized. The record is from RefSeq and is a predicted model, not a curated record. NCBI's taxonomy places the organism in Eukaryota, Viridiplantae, Streptophyta, Magnoliopsida, Amborellales, Amborellaceae.
UGUUAGAGAGAGAGAGAGAGAGAAUUAUUUUAGUGUUAGAGAGAAAGAGAGAGAGAGAGAAGAGUAGAGUGGUGGGGCGGUGCAGAGCGCAGAAGCAUUUAGCUGUUGAAGCUGCCAGCAUGAUCCGGUUCAGAAUCAGAAUUUUGAUGAUUCAGAUCGUGCUGCAGCUUCACCUGCUAAUGCAUGCAAUUUUUCAUCUACUUUCACUCUCUCAUGCAGCUUCAGCUUUAUUGGGUAGCAAUGGAUGCAAAAAUCAUUUCAAGUUAUUUGGUCAUGGUUCCUUCGCAUAGUGCAGUUGCACGAACCAUACGGUCCAGGGCUUGAUCAAAUGUACAAUUUGUACCCGGCCGACCACCACAUAGUUCUCCAUUUCAUCAGUAUACCUUGUGACUCUCGAGCUUCAACAACUUCGGUGGUUGCUUUUAUUACUUGAAUCACGCUUCAACAGACUAAGUCCUCGAAGCGUUUGAGGCGGGAACUAUACCAGUUGUACCUAUGUGUUGAAAAAUGUACAAAAGAAACAUACGACUGAAAUGUAAAGUGCUCUCUAUGAACAAGUGAUCAUGGCUCUCUCGCUUUUAGUUUUGCGUAAGUGGCAUGCCUCUUCCAUCUGGAGUCCACAUAUUUGGAUUCUAUCAUUUGUGAGUAGCCUCUGGUGGCAUGCUGACCGAGAGAAUCAGGAGGUUAUACGGUUAACAAGCUUUUGCAUAAAGCUUUUAAGAUCUCAUGUCUUUUUCAUGCGUUACAUAGCUACAAUUUGCGCAUGAAUAGCGUGCAUUGAGUGAUUUGUGUUGUGCAUGGUGUGCAGUGUGCAGUACACAAGACUGAGUACUAAGUUCA